CUGCAGGCAGACGACCCGCGAACAGUGAAAACAAACGCGGGCGAUGGGCCCUCUGGGUCGGUCGCUCUAAGCCCGAGUGGAGGGGGGGACGUGGGGGACCACAGCCCCUCCCCCCCACACGGGCACAACGAACCCCGGCGCGAACUGUGCCAAGGAACCAAACAAAGAUGUGCGCCCCCUCCGCCUGGAAACAGUUUGGAAGGGGGACGCGUCGUCGUCCAUAUUACAUAUGAAACGACUCUCGGCAACGGAUAUCUCGGCUCUCGCAUCGAUGAAGAACGUAGCGAAAUGCGAUACUUGGUGUGAAUUGCARAAUCCCGUGAACCAUCGAGUUUUUGAACGCAAGUUGCGCCCGAAGCCGUCAGGCCGAGGGCACGCCUGCCUGGGUGUCACGCAACGUCGCCAACAACCCCCUCACCCCCCCUGCGAAGGGGAUGGCGAGGGGUGGCGGAUAUUGGCCUCCCGUGCGCACCCGCUCGCGGUUGGCCCAAAUAACAGCCCCUUGGCGAUGGCAGCCACGGCAUGCGGUGGUUGGAAGCACUGGCUCAUUGAACCGCUGUGGGCGAGCCUCGUCGACGGGGAGCAAGAGACCCUGACGCAAGCGUCCCAACAAAGCGACC
This 620-nucleotide ribosomal RNA is filed under the name Celastrus flagellaris. RNAcentral's name for it is "eukaryotic LSU rRNA". The stretch from base 237 to 392 matches the Rfam family "5.8S ribosomal RNA". The record is from RNAcentral. Lineage: Eukaryota; Viridiplantae; Streptophyta; Magnoliopsida; Celastrales; Celastraceae.